GGGUUGCAGCUGGAGUUGGGGUUAAUGGCCCAGUUAUUAUUUAUACAUCCCUUUGGGACACUUUGUCCUCCAGCAUUUAACCCAUCCAAACUAUUUAAGAGCAAAGGGAAGCCACAGAGCAGCACCGUGGGACCAGCUCUUCUUCUGCGGUGAAUGCUUUGGUCAAGGGCAACUUCACUUCCUAUCCCAGAUACCAAGAGCAGCAUGCAUUUUAAACUCAAAAGAAAUUGAAGCGUUCACAUGAAUUCAGACAGGGCACACUUGACAUUGACAGUCCAGAGCUUCGGUUUGGAAAGAGGCCCUUUGAGGACAUCCAGAUUUAAUGUUUGUGCAGUAUACUGUGUACGAUUGGAGAUAAUUACUCUGAGUACCCAGAUUUGAGUUUGCAUUCAUACUGAGUGCGCUUUGUUUUGUAAAUUUAGAGUUUUCCCCUCACUGGGCGAGUGAGAUGCUAUCACUGAGCUCCGCAAGCAAACUUUCCACUUCUGUUCUUUUGAUAAGAAACAAAACAUCUCACAACACAAACAGGCUUUAUAUUGGUUCAGAUGAAGAGAGGCUUUCCAGUGACUCAUUUGCACACGCUGCUAUGAAUAGACUCGCCUGCCUGUGAACCUACCGCAGCACUGAUUUGCUUCUGGGAGUGACAAAAGACUCACAUUGCAAAAAAGAAUAUAUCAAUUAAGAGGAAAAGAUUCUUUCGUGGGUCAAUACAGACAUGUAGAGUAAUCACUGUCCAGCAGAACAAGCUGUUUAGAAAUGCCAAGGCUCUUUGUAACACUGCUCUUAUCUUUCCUCUGCAGAUCUGGUCAAUCCAAGAUUACUGUAGCCGUCCUACAGCGACCUCCUGAAAGGCUUUCUUAAUCUGGAAUGAUGUCCAAUUUUAAUUCCAAGCAGUUUUUCAUUACCGCCAUGAACAUUUCCUCAAUAUUUUGAUGUACAUUUCCUCUUUUAUGUACAACCCUGCAUUAAUUCUUUAAUGGUGGUCCACAAAUCCCCAAAAAAACAUGACAUACUGAGCACAGGGAGUGCUCAAAGGUAGCCUAGUAGCGCUAACAUAAGACAAACCUGUCACAAACCCAGUAUGGUCAAUAUAUCACUCAAUGCACUAUGUUUCUGGUCCAACCCUGAUAGGAUGCGGGCCAGGAAAUCUGGGCGCGGACUAAAGGGGGCUGAACAUUGGAUGUGUUAUUUAUCGCUAUAACCAUAAAACAUAGAAGCAGAGCAGGGAGGAAAGAGAGGAGGCAGACAGACAGGGAGGGAGGGAGGGAGUAGUCAUGUUAGGAAGGAGCCCAUAUCUCCAUAGGAGUGAUUGAUGGGGAUGAGGAAUCGGCCCUGUCAUGGUGCAAUUACACCAGUCGGACAGGAUGUGUUUGAAGGACAGAGCAGCUGAGUACAGACCGGGAGGGGAAGUGAUUCAUGCUGCAGGAAAGCGCUGCAAAACAAAUGAUGUUACGGUCCUGACCUUGUAACUGUGACAAGAUAUCAUCUCUCUUGUUAAUUCUAAAUGAUUCCCUUCCUGGGGGUGAGUGUUAUCCUGCAGAUUAGUUCAUUAAAACUCAGAAUGGUCAUGGCCGCAUGAGCCACUGUUGGGAAGCAUGUCUGUUAGUUAAAACCUAUUUUUUGCCUCUGUAAUGUUUCUGAUUUACAGGACUAGUAAAGCUUUGUAUUUGGGGUGCUUUUAGGAGUUUUUGAGCCAGCUUUUACCACCUUAAAAAUAUGUUAAGUCAUGAUGCAUUUGGACAACCUAACAGAGAGUUUUGCUCAUAUUUUUAAACUGAGAAGCCUGAACCAAAAAUGAAAAAUAAAACCAAAGAGAAAAAAGCUUCAUCUGCAUUUCCCCAAAGUCUUGUCUGGUCUUGGAAAGCUUUUAAUCUAAAGCAGCAGUCGUGUUUACACUAGUUUAGGCUCACAGACAGGGCACAGAAAAUGUCGCUUUCAUGAAAUCUAAUGCAAAAGCUUUCAUAAUGUGAUUAGGUCAUAUUGACUCACAUUUUGGGUAUGAGUUGGCAACAGGGAGCGGUAUUAAAUCUAAUCUCGUACUUUCAUCACUUUGCCUGAAGUUUCUAUCUUUCCCAGUAAAGUCACUGUUGAUCUCAUCAGCGGUGGCCAAAGGGACACCUGACCCCGCUGACUUGAAGAGCUCAGUCAGCACUUCUGCAUGGAUAACAUGGCUGCAAGUGACCUGGAAAUGGAUUCAGUCCCCCUAAAUGGCUUUAGACUCGCUGGUGGAUUUACAAUCUCCUGCCUUGCUUUUAAAUCUUUACCAUUUUUGACAUUGCUCGCUUUUACUCUGCCUGUCUUCUAUCUUCUUUUUAUUCCAAGUGACACACAAACCCCUAUCAUUUUCCUCUCAUGCAGCAUUACUUCCCCCUAUCUUGUCAGUCUCAAAGGUUUUGUCUAAAUGAGAAGCUCUGGCGUGGAGAUCAGCAUCUCUGUGUCUCGGUUAGAUUCAAUUUCAAACUUAUCUUUGUCAGUCAAGAACACAGAGAAGACAAAAAUUGGACUGAGUUCAAGUUGGUACUUUUCGGUAGAAGAAAAACCACUUAUGGUGGGGGAUGGGGUGGUUCAAGGAUGUGACUGUUUGGGCAAGAGCAUGAAGCUUGGGAGGAGUGAAGGAUGAUUAAAGUUAGCAAAAGCUGCAUUUCCACCGAAUGUAAGCAGAAUAUUAAGUCCCAGAACUGUUCUUCAAAGGAUUAAAGACUUCCCUCAGCCAUUUUAGUUUUACCAAUCUUUGUGGAUCGAUGAAUAUCAGGUAGAUGAGUCUAAUUCAAGUAUUUAGCUGAUUUUCAAAGCCCUUGUACUUUAAGGUAGUACGUAAACCUCCAUGCAGGAACCAUUUGUUUGGAAUUAAAGUGUUUGCAGUCUAUACAGUGGAAAACCCGAGAAGUGCCUCCUAAGGUCCUGAGCAUAGACUGUAUAUACUAUGGAUAACUUGGUUCCACCUUCCGCCUGUAUACAGAUUUGGAGCUAAAAAGCUCUCGGUAAUUCCACUUUUUCUCCAUUUCCUAAAACCAACAUUGCGCAGUAGCAUUGUGCGCAUUCAGCGGGAGAGUCGCUGAGAGUCGUUGUGAUGACGUUUGGCUCAAACAGCGUAUCCCCGGGUGAGCUACGCGAUCUUCGUAUGUCCAUAGGCUGUAUCAAGUGUCAAUCAAAGAAAACAUGUACCAUCUAAUAACUUUUAAAAAUGGAGCUGUACAGAAAAAAUGAAUGAAUGGUGUAGGAGGAGCACAUUUUAGAAAUGAUGGCUGUGGCGGGGCGCCACUAACGCCGUCCUCAUCGCGGCUGGCCGCUCUCUCCCUCGCGGCUGGCCGCUCUCUCUCUCGCGGCUGGACGCACGCUCUCUCUCGCGGCUGGACGCCUUCUCUCCCUCUCGCUCUCCCUCGUCGCUCGGCGCCGACGUGGGGGAAUAGCGUGGUCACUCGCGGCUGGAGUGACAGACGGACGGGAGUCAAAAUGAACAUUUAAAGACAAUAAUUGGACUCUUGCGUCCCCGUGGUUGGUGUUAGAGGGUGCACACUCAAACACCUACACGGGUCUCGCUUACACAUACACGCACACACAUACACACUCACCUUCUGUCUCCGCUUCAUGGACUGAACAGAGGCAGUUCCGGGUCACCUGUUAAGUAGCACUAGAUGACGUGCCUCCGCGGGUCAGGUGACCCAGGGAGAAACCAAAGUCCGGGAACAAAUUGAUUUAUAGGAAAAAUAUUGUGUUUGGGUUUAAUAUUGGCUCAGCCAUGUGGAGGGUGUGAGCAACAGUAAUUGCUUUGUAUUAUUUUGUGUAUGUAGAAAUAUUAGUUAUGAUAUAAUAGCUGAUAUCUUGAAAAACCCCUUGAUUGUUUUGAUUGGUUUGUCCGGAGGAGGGGCCAAGGGGUAUUUAAAGGAGCUCAGCUCACUUGUUGGGGUGCCUCCUGGUUGAGCAGACGUAUGUUGGUCCUGGUAUUUGAAUUGCGGUUUGUAAAUAGUUUUUCCUCUGUCUUUUUUGUAAAUAAUUUUUGUAAAUAUUUUUUGUACAUAAGAGUUUUCACCUGUGGGUAUUUUUUUGGAGAUGGUGUAAAUAAAAGGAAAUCACCGUACUCGGUUCUCGACUGUGCCAUCAUCUUUCCCUCCACAACCGAAAAAGAACUUAAAGAAACUGAACCCGCGACAUUUGGUGUCAGAAGUGGGAUGGCCAGUCGAAGGGGACGCAUCCGGUUCACAGGAAGACGGACCGGACUGCGGUCACAAAAAGUGGAAGAAGCUGUGGAGGAAGCAGCCUGGGCCA
Molecule: long non-coding RNA, 4266 nt
Filed under: Xyrichtys novacula (pearly razorfish)
Lineage: Eukaryota; Metazoa; Chordata; Actinopteri; Labriformes; Labridae
Source: RNAcentral